GCUGGGUGUGGUGGUGCACAUCUGUAGUCUCAGGUACUCUGGAGGCUGAGGUGAGAGGAUUGCUUGAGCCCAGGAGUUCAAGGAUGCAGUGAGCUGUGAUUGUGCCACUGCACUGCAGCCUGGACAAUAGAGCAAGAUCCUGCCUCAA
Molecule: small RNA, 148 nt
Filed under: Macaca fascicularis (crab-eating macaque)
Lineage: Eukaryota; Metazoa; Chordata; Mammalia; Primates; Cercopithecidae
Description: Metazoan signal recognition particle RNA (ENSMFAG00000063526.1)
Source: Rfam by way of RNAcentral